UAUGCACUUUUGGUGGCUUUAUUUCUGGGAGCCAACUGCAAAGAUAGGAUCGGCGUCCCCGAAUAGUUUCACUAGUAAGUCAAGCAGAUCUCUAGUAUACAAAUGGAAUUGGUUAAAAAGGGAAUGAAAACAAGCGAGCUAAUGUAGCCAUAAAUGGGCAAGAUAAUAAAGCAUUCCUUUGGUAUACAAGUUUGUCCAUAUGACAGGAUUCCAGCUUAUGUUGGAACACUCUAAGUAUGUGCCGCAAUCACCACUGCACAUCUCAUUCAAAAACCAAGACCUAAUACAUGUAGGAAUUAAACUAAAAUCUGAAACCUUCACAAAACGUUUGUAUUCGCUCCUCUAGCAUGGUGGUGUCCAUAAACCACACCUCUGGUUAGCUAGAAACAAUUAACUAACCCGUAUAUUAACCUGAUAUCACCAAUUCAUAGUCAUGCACCUGAAUACCUGAUAUAAUGCUUCUUUCAUCUAUCCCAAGUCAUAUAUGAAUAUAAUAGUACUCUCGCUAGGAAGUGAUACCUCUGCUUGUCUGAUUAUUAUUAACAGUAUAGUUGCCCAUGUAACUUGCUGGUAUGUUUGAUUUGAUAUCUGGAUCAACAUUUCCAAGGUCAUUACCAAAAGGAGGCAUAUCAAUCUCAGAUGACGUGAACCUCCAAGUUGAGUCUCCAUAAAUGGAGCUGCUGCCAUAUGUAUCUGCAUUGUUCACUUCAUAUGCAUUGGGUGGUGCAGAGAAGGGUUCACCAAUGGUACCAGUUGCAUUGCUCCUUCCAUAGCUGCCAGAAGGCAAGCCAAAACUGUCUCCAGCUCCACGGCCAAGGUUAGCCAGCCCAAGGCUUGAAAUGUUGCCCAUUCCAUGGCCAGGAGUAGGCCCUCCCCAAUUAAUACCGUCAC
This 891-nucleotide small RNA is filed under the name Oryza sativa Japonica Group (Japanese rice). Its description in RNAcentral is "sRNA Os07g0584550". The record is from RNAcentral. Lineage: Eukaryota; Viridiplantae; Streptophyta; Magnoliopsida; Poales; Poaceae.